GUGAAUCAUCAAAUCUUUGAACGCAAAUUGCGCUUCCUGGCAUCCCGGGAAGUAUGCCUGUUUGAGAGUCAGUAUUAAUAAAAAAUCGUUUUAGUUACAAAUUGUGGCGUUUCUGGAGUUUGGGCUGUCUUAACAUUUUUGGUUAAGAGGAUGAAAAUUGACCUUUUUUGCGCAUUUUUAUACGUACAUAAAUUUUUUUAUUCGUCUAUUCUUAUUUCCAAAAUCUUGUUAUGUGCGAUCACAUCUU
This 247-nucleotide unclassified non-coding RNA is filed under the name Glomeraceae sp. Its description in RNAcentral is "partial contains 5.8S ribosomal RNA and internal transcribed spacer 2". The stretch from base 1 to 71 matches the Rfam family "5.8S ribosomal RNA", at positions 84 to 154 of the family's 154-position model. The record is from RNAcentral. Lineage: Eukaryota; Fungi; Glomeromycota; Glomeromycetes; Glomerales; Glomeraceae.